Molecule: ribosomal RNA, 981 nt
Filed under: Robustodorus subtenuis
Lineage: Eukaryota; Metazoa; Nematoda; Chromadorea; Rhabditida; Aphelenchoididae
Description: SSU rRNA
Rfam family: Eukaryotic small subunit ribosomal RNA
Source: RNAcentral
AAAAGAUUUUAGCCAUGCAUGUGUAAGUAGAGUUGAUAUAAGGCGAAACUGCGAACGGCUCAUUACAACAGAUAUAAUUUACUUGUUCUAUUUCUUAAACGGAUAACUGCGGUAAUUCUGGAGCCAAUACGUGCACCAAAGCGUGGUUCGCUUGCGAGCCGCGUGCACUUAUCGGAGCAAAACCAAACCUUCGGGUUCGUUGCUAACUCUGGAUAAUACUGCUUAUCGCAUGGCCUCGUGCCGGCGAAGCGACAUUCAAGUAUCUGCCCUAUCAAUUAUCGUAGUUAGUGUAUUGGACUAACUAGAUGGUGACGGGUAACGGAGAAUCAGGGUUCGACUCCGGAGAGGCCGCCUUAGAAACGGCGACCAUGUCUAAGGAUAGCAGCAGGCGCGAAAAUUACCCACUGCUCACUCUGAGCGAGGUAGUGACGAGAAAUAACAAAGCCGUUCUCAUUGAGGUCGGCUAUUGGAAUGGGUACAACCUAGACAAUUUAACGAGUAUCAACGAGAGGGCAAGUCUGGUGCCAGCAGCCGCGGUAAUUCCAGCUCUCGUAAUGUAUAGAAUUAUUGUUGCGGUUAAAAAGUUCGUAGUUGGAUUGUCUCGCCAGGGCGGGUCGGCCUUAACGGGCUCGUACUCGCUCUGGCAUUUGCGUCUUCGCGCCCUUCCCCGCGGGGUUGGCGCGUGGCGCGGAUUACUUUGAACGGCUUACGUGCUCAAGGCAGGUCAACUGGACCGAUUACCGGUGCAUGGAAUAAUGGAACAAGGUCUCGGCCGAGUUUUGUUGGUUUUGUCGGCUGAAACAAUGGUUAACAGGAACAGCUGGGGGCAUUCGUAUCGCUGCGCGAGAGGUGAAAUUCGUGGACCGCAGCGAGACGCACUAAAGCGAAGGCAUUUGCCAAGAGUGUUUUCAUUAAUCAAGAACGAAAGUCAGAGGUUCGAAGGCGAUUAGAUACCGCCCUAUCUUGGCGCCCUAAAAAAAA